RNAcentral lists this ribosomal RNA (327 nucleotides) under Comamonas brasiliensis. RNAcentral's name for it is "bacterial SSU rRNA". It matches the Rfam family "Bacterial small subunit ribosomal RNA", at positions 56 to 388 of the family's 1533-position model. Lineage: Bacteria; Pseudomonadati; Pseudomonadota; Betaproteobacteria; Burkholderiales; Comamonadaceae. The record is from RNAcentral.
UGCAAGUCGAACGGUAACAGGUCUUCGGAUGCUGACGAGUGGCGAACGGGUGAGUAUUCAUCGGAACGUGCCUAGUAGUGGGGGAUAACUACUCGAAAGAGUAGCUAAUACCGCAUGAGAUCUACGGAUGAAAGCAGGGGACCUUCGGGCCUUGUGCUACUAGAGCGGCUGAUGGCAGAUUAGGUAGUUGGUGGGGUAAAGGCUUACCAAGCCUGCGAUCUGUAGCUGGUCUGAGAGGACGACCAGCCACACUGGGACUGAGACACGGCCCAGACUCCUACGGGAGGCAGCUGUGGGGAAUUUUGGACAAUGGGCGAAAUCCUGAUC